This 301-nucleotide ribosomal RNA is filed under the name uncultured bacterium. RNAcentral's name for it is "partial 16S ribosomal RNA". It matches the Rfam family "Bacterial small subunit ribosomal RNA", at positions 509 to 807 of the family's 1533-position model. The record is from RNAcentral.
CAGCCGCCACGGUAAUACGAAGGGGGCUAGCGUUGCUCGGAAUCACUGGGCGUAAAGGGUGCGUAGGCGGGUCUUUAAGUCAGGGGUGAAAUCCUGGAGCUCAACUCCAGAACUGCCUUUGAUACUGAAGAUCUUGAGUUCGGGAGAGGUGAGUGGAACUGCGAGUGUAGAGGUGAAAUUCGUAGAUAUUCGCAAGAACACCAGUGGCGAAGGCGGCUCACUGGCCCGAUACUGACGCUGAGGCACGAAAGCGUGGGGAGCAAACAGGAUUAGAUACCCCAGUAGUCCCUGUCUCUUAUAC